AAAACCCUGAUUUUUUUUUCAAAAGUCAUUUCUUUUUCUUUCAUGAAAAGUAACAAUGAACAAGUGUGAUAAGAACACCAGCCAAAACCUGACCCCUGAAAUUUUACUCUGAACUGAGAGCUCCACUUUGAUCAGACCACCUUCCCAAAGCAGCAUGUUGCCCCAUUCUGACCCUGAGAGCACCUGGCAGGUAUGUGGAAAAAAGAAAUGUGCAUUAAAACAGUCUAUUUCCUAUCAUUAAAUACUUACAAGAAGUAAAAGAUAAAAAGAAAGAGCCAAUGGAUGUAGGAAGCUUUGGGACCUCUCCUCUCCAGCUAUCUGAGAGAUACUGCUUCCCGCAAACAGUUUGCCUCUGUGAUCCUUAUUUACCUCUACCUUUUCCAUGAGAUUGAGAACACUAUAAGAAAGCCUACAAAUGCUAUGGUUGCACAUACAGAAAAAUCCAAGACCUCAGAGACUUCUUCCCAUCACUCUUUGAUGUAACUGAUUUCUCCCCAUCAGUAUCCUGAUCAUCUGGUUCCUUCAUUUCCUCUGAUCCAGGAUGACCCACCAGUAGGAGGGUGCAACUACCACCAGAGACCUCUGACCUCUGCAAGACAGCUAAUUAUAAUCACAGAUUCUCUUUCUCUAGGUAAAUUGUCAUUGUGGUGCACUUUGGUUUUCCAGAGGUCCACUACCAAAGUUCAUCUUUUCCCCAGAUGCUUCACCAUUAAAAUUAACUUUCUGCCAUCCUACCUUUGGUCCAUCCCUCCCUCUUUCUCUAUUUUCAAAUUCCCUUGGAGUUACUAAUCAAUUUCAGUUUUUAAAAUAUUUUUUGAGCACACCUGCAGUGUAUCAAGUCUUAUGUUGGGUACUAAAUUACAAACCUGGAGAAGAGAAAUAUGGUCCCUAACUUUAUGGAGCUUGUUUAUAAAGAUAGAUAUUAAACAAGCAAUUAAAAAUAAUGAGUGCUACAAAAAGGAAAAUGGUACUGUGGGCAUGUAUAGCAAGAAGCCUAAAACAUGAUGGGGGGUUAGAGAAGAGGUGUUUGAGACAUGGAUGAUGGUCAGGAGUUGGCCAGGCAAAGAAUGUGAAAGAUACAUUAGGCACAUCAAAGAGGGCUGCAUCUUUAAAGGGCUGCAAGCAGUCUAUUGGCCAGAGUGGGAGAGUAAAAUGGAUAUUGAAGAGAAGGUGGGUACCAUAUCAUAAAGUUGUCUCUAAGCUUUGCUAAGAAGUUUA
This 1218-nucleotide long non-coding RNA is filed under the name Homo sapiens (human). RNAcentral describes it as "HSALNT0313857". The record is from RNAcentral. Lineage: Eukaryota; Metazoa; Chordata; Mammalia; Primates; Hominidae.